Molecule: long non-coding RNA, 1244 nt
Filed under: Numida meleagris (helmeted guineafowl)
Lineage: Eukaryota; Metazoa; Chordata; Aves; Galliformes; Numididae
Description: lncRNA (ENSNMEG00000012128.1)
Source: RNAcentral
AUUAUCUGGGUUACAUCCUUUAAAGUAUAUAUAGCUUAAAAGGGAAGGCUUGGUGGAGCUGGGAGGGAGGAAAGAGGUCUCUGCUUGCUGGGAGAAGCUCUGAUUAACACUAGGGAAGUUUUCUUUACGCCCCUUGCUGCUCCAAGCAUGGGAGGAGAGGGGAUGCUCUUAAACCUCCCCAAACUCCAUGUCCUUCUGACAGCAUCCUACAGAAGCUCCUAGUUGAUGGUCAUUGACCAAAACAUUUGUUUUUAACACCAGACGUCAGCCAAAGAGGACUUGGUUGUUAAUCACUGCCUCUGAUCCAUGUUAUUUCUGUGUUUUAGCUGUUUGAUUGAGAAAGAGACGUUGAUGAGAUCUGUGUUCUUGCUAACUUUGAUUUCCGGAAGGAAAUAAGUAUAUGCUUUGUAAUAAUAACAGUUUUAAAGAACAAGCAAGUCUGUCCAAGUUAAUGAAGGCCGUACAAUCAGCCUGCCGGCAUAAAUCAUGUUAUUCUGUAGAAGACGUUGACAAAUGGCAUCCGAAAGUGUAGAAGAGAGGAAAACAAACAACGCAACCCCUUCCCCCAGCUCUUCUGGGAGCAAUGCAAAACUUGGGAGAUGCAUCGAAUUUCCAUCUCGUACCGCACUAACUGUGCUGGGUAAUGGGCCACAAGUCACCACUGACUUCAUGCCAGUAUCAGAGUGAAAGGUGAAAUAUCCAGUUCACUCUGAUAACUCCCCCCAUGACUCGAGGGAGCAGGAAUGCAUAUUUCCGAGGUGCCGCUGCUUUGCCUCGUGGCUGUGACGGGCUCUGGAGAGAGGACAUUUCCCAGGAUCAAUCUACUGCUCGUAGGACUCUGCUCAUCACUUUCAGCUCUUGCGUAGCCCUUUUGUGCAGAUGGGAAUGGCUUUGUGCAAGAGCAACGGCCAAAGAGCAUUGUUGAAGAGUGGCAUGCACCCAAAAAGAAAGGAAACCUGGGCUCACUGCUAGAGCAGACAUGGGAAGAUCAACACUUUGGCAGCAUGAGCACACUGCAGAUCUGGAAACAGCACUAAACCUGUCCCAGCUGCACAUGGGAAAAGGUGAGAACGAUCAGCUGAGUUACAAUCUAUUAUUCAAGAUAACUUGGAAAGCUUUGCAAUUUUCUUUUCAGUGAAUUCGCUUCUGUAUAUAGCACUAGAGUAGUUAAUUUUCUAUGAAAACCCAGAAAGCUGCCUUCAAAAGAUAAUAAAGCUUGAUCAGUUCACCUGGGUUUCCUUUUU